UACAGAGACUGCAAGCGUUAUUCGGAUUCACUGGGCGUAAAGGGUGCGCAGGCGGCCAAGUGUGUUAGGCGUGAAAGCCCGGGGCUUAACCCCGGAAUUGCACCUAAAACUACAUGGCUAGAGCAUUGGAGAGGGUAGCGGAAUUCACGGUGUAGCAGUGAAAUGCGUAGAUAUCGUGAGGAACACCAGAGGCGAAGGCGGCUACCUGGGACAAUUGCUGACGCUCAGGCAACGAAAGCGUGGGGAGCAAAAGGG
This 255-nucleotide ribosomal RNA is filed under the name uncultured bacterium. RNAcentral describes it as "partial 16S ribosomal RNA". It matches the Rfam family "Bacterial small subunit ribosomal RNA", at positions 524 to 776 of the family's 1533-position model. The record is from RNAcentral.